UGGGGAAUUUUGCACAAUGGGGGAAACCCUGAUGCAGCGACGCCGCGUGAUUUAGAAGGCCUUCGGGUUGUAAAAAUCUUUUCUAUGGGAAGAAAAUGACAGUACCAUAGGAAUAAGGACCGGCUAAUUACGUGCCAGCAGCCGCGGUAAUACGUAAGGUCCGAGCGUUGUCCGGAAUCAUUGGGCGUAAAGGGUACGUAGGCGGGUAAGCAAGUUAGAAGUGAAAUCCUAUAGCUCAACUAUAGUAAGCUUUUAAAACUGCUCAUCUGGAGGUAUGGAAGGGAAAGUGGAAUUCCUAGUGUAGCGGUGAAAUGCGCAGAUAUUAGGAGGAAUAACGGUGGCGAAGGCGACUUUCUGGCCAUAACCUGACGCUGAGGUACGAAAGCGUGGGUAGCAAACAGG
This 402-nucleotide ribosomal RNA is filed under the name bacterium. RNAcentral describes it as "partial 16S ribosomal RNA". It matches the Rfam family "Bacterial small subunit ribosomal RNA", at positions 355 to 776 of the family's 1533-position model. The record is from RNAcentral.